This 74-nucleotide transfer RNA is filed under the name Lysobacteraceae bacterium. RNAcentral describes it as "tRNA-Cys". It matches the Rfam family "tRNA". From Rfam's summary of the family: Transfer RNA (tRNA) molecules are approximately 80 nucleotides in length. Their secondary structure includes four short double-helical elements and three loops (D, anti-codon, and T loops). Lineage: Bacteria; Pseudomonadati; Pseudomonadota; Gammaproteobacteria; Lysobacterales; Lysobacteraceae. The record is from RNAcentral.
GGCCGGAUGGCAGAGUGGUUAUGCAGCGGAUUGCAAAUCCGUGUACGCCGGUUCGAUUCCGACUUCGGCCUCCA